Molecule: ribosomal RNA, 164 nt
Filed under: uncultured bacterium
Lineage: Bacteria
Description: partial 16S rRNA
Rfam family: Bacterial small subunit ribosomal RNA
Source: RNAcentral
UAGGGAAUCUUCCACAAUGGACGCAAGUCUGAUGGAGCAACGCCGCGUGAGUGAAGAAGGUCUUCGGAUCGUAAAACUCUGUUGUUAGAGAAGAACACGAGUGAGAGUAACUGUUCAUUCGAUGACGGUAUCUAACCAGCAAGUCACGGCUAACUACGUGCCAU